RNAcentral lists this ribosomal RNA (1354 nucleotides) under human oral metagenome. RNAcentral's name for it is "bacterial LSU rRNA". It matches the Rfam family "Bacterial large subunit ribosomal RNA", at positions 1150 to 2492 of the family's 2925-position model. The record is from RNAcentral.
CGAGUGGACAUGCGCCGACAAUAUACGGGGCUAAGCAUUGUACCGAAGCGGCGGAUCAGUACUAUGUACUGGUGGUAGGAGAGCUUUCUGUACGGGUUGAAGCAGUUGGAUAACCAACUGUGGACUGUCCAGAAGUGAGAAUGCUGGCAUGAGUAACGAGAGACAUGUAAAAAACAUGUCCGCCGUAAACCCAAGGUUUCCUGGGCAAGGCUAAUCCUCCCAGGGUUAGGCGGGAGCUAAGGCAAGGCCGGAAGGCGUAGUCGAUGCACAACAGGUAGAAAUUCCUGUCCCUCCAAAAGAGCGUUAUCACCAAUGGGGUGACGGAGCAGGGUAGCUAGGCGGGGUUCUGGACGUCCCCGUGAUGGCACGUAGGCUGAGAAGUAGUGAAAUGCGCUUCUCGUGAUGGCUGAGGUGUCGGACGAAGCAAUUGAGUGAAGCUGGUAAGCCCAUACUUCCAAGAAAAACCUCUAGGGAGCUCUGAGGAGCCCGUACCGCAAACCGACACAGGUGGGUGGGUAGAGCAUACCAAGGCGAUCGGGAGAACUAUGGUUAAGGAACUCGGCAAAAUUGCCCCGUAACUUCGGGAGAAGGGGUGCCGGUUUCGGUGAAGGGAUUUACUCCCCGAGCUAAGAUCGGUCACAGUAAAUAGGUCCAAGCGACUGUUUAUCAAAAACACAGGACUCUGCUGAAGUCGUAAGACGACGUAUAGGGUCUGACGCCUGCCCGGUGCCGGAAGGUCACGAGGAGUUGUUAGCAUUAGCGAAGCAGCGAAUCUAAGCCCCGGUAAACGGCGGCCGUAACUAUAACGGUCCUAAGGUAGCGAAAUUCCUUGUCGGGUAAGUUCCGACCUGCACGAAAGGCGUAACGAUUUGGACGCUGUCUCAACCAUAGACCCGGUGAAAUUGCACUAGUCGUGAAGAUGCGACUUACCCGCAGAAGGACGGAAAGACCCCGUGAACCUUUACUGCAGCUUGACAUUGGCUGCCGGUUCGUCGUGUAGAGGAUAGGUGGGAGACGCCGAACCAGGGACGCCAGUCCCUGGGGAGUCACCCUUGGAAUACCACCCUCGACGUUCUGGCAUCCUAACCCCGCGCCGUGAUCCGGGCGGGGGACCGUGUCAGGUGGGUAGUUUGACUGGGGCGGUCGCCUCCUAAAGAGUAACGGAGGCGCACAAAGGUCUGCUCAGCCUGGUCGGCAACCAGGCCGCUGAGUGCAAGAGCGCAAGCAGGCUCGACUGCGAGGCCCACGAGCCGAGCAGGGACGAAAGUCGGUUCUAGUGAUCCGGCGGCCCAGAGUGGAAUGGCCGUCGCUCAACGGAUAAAAGGUACUCCGGGGAUAACAGGCUGAUCUUCCC